CUGGGGUGGGCGUGUUUGAGUCGGUGGAAGCCGACGGGCGUCGACGUCUCUGUAUGCAACAAGUAAAAGAACUAUGGGGUCCAAUGUCUCUUCCAGGAUCUGGUCGCCUGAGCCCACUCCUUCUGCGUCUUCCACCUCAUAGCUGGCUUAACCACCAUCUUGAUUGCAUCUAAUCUUGCAUCUGUAAAACCACUUUUUCUUCCAUGAUGGUGUUGUAUACCACCACCACCACCACCAGCAGCUGAUCAAAGUCCUGUGCUGCCGCCUAGGGUCUAAAUGUAAUCAGAUACCUCAAAUUGUUACAAGACCCUCUGUGUUGAAUCCUCUAAAACGAAGUCUAUUGAA
Long non-coding RNA from Polypterus senegalus (gray bichir), 345 nucleotides. RefSeq lists it as uncharacterized. Lineage: Eukaryota; Metazoa; Chordata; Cladistia; Polypteriformes; Polypteridae. The transcript is spliced from 3 exons. The record is from RefSeq and is a predicted model, not a curated record.